Paramisgurnus dabryanus is the source of this 799-nucleotide long non-coding RNA. RefSeq lists it as uncharacterized. Lineage: Eukaryota; Metazoa; Chordata; Actinopteri; Cypriniformes; Cobitidae. The record is from RefSeq and is a predicted model, not a curated record.
UAAUUGAACCCACCCCCGGGUGAAGAUCUAAAAAGCUAUGUUUUAAAAGCACAAUAUUUCUGUUUAUUUUAAUACAAGAAAUAUUUAUUGUUAAACAAGUUCUAAUUUUCAGUUCAGUCUGGACGUGGGACAUCUUUUUUUACCAUCUUUAUUGUUUUUUUAACAUGUUGUCUUUUGUUAUGUGUUAUUAGCUAUGGUUAUUAGUCAUGUUCGACUUCAUGCAGCGCUGCGAGAACAGACAUCAUACGUUGAUGACGUCAAUGUAUCGCGAGAGCGAGUCAAGAAAUUACACUCUCGCGGUACAUUGACGUUAUCAACCUGUCAGCGCAGCAAGAAGUCGAGCACACGUAUUUGCGGGCGCGCGCCUACGUCCUCGUGAGUUCAAAGUGGAUUUUAACCGUUUACCUCCGACGACAGUUUUCAUUUCUAUGGCAAAUUCUAAGGUCAUUUUCUUGUUGUGUUUUGAUGUUUUCCAUUGGCUGAAGACUAAGAUGAGCCUGAAGAGGAGAUUUGGGAAGUCUUUGCUUUGCCAGAUCACCUGUGGUCGGGAUGUCUGCUAACAAGAUGCCUUGUUGGUCUGGGCGAGUUUGAAGUCUCUCACAGACAGUCCAGAAGGUCUGGAGUCCAUCUUAGCUUUUAUUGAUGCUGUCAUCAGGUUUUAAGUACAGUAUGAGCCAGAAUGGAAGGGUGUUGGUGGCCAUAAGAAGACUGUGAGCUAAACCUACAACAAAAUUCAUAUUUGCAGUUUUCCUAGAAUAUUUUUUUCUAUUCAGAUGAAUAAAAUUACUUUAAAAUAUUA